RNAcentral lists this ribosomal RNA (1463 nucleotides) under uncultured organism. Its description in RNAcentral is "partial small subunit ribosomal RNA". It matches the Rfam family "Bacterial small subunit ribosomal RNA". The record is from RNAcentral.
UGCCUAAUACAUGCAAGUCGAGCGAACGGACGAGAAGCUUGCUUCUCUGAUGUUAGCGGCGGACGGGUGAGUAACACGUGGAUAACCUACCUAUAAGACUGGGAUAACUUCGGGAAACCGGAGCUAAUACCGGAUAAUAUUUUGAACCGCAUGGUUCAAAAGUGAAAGACGGUCUUGCUGUCACUUAUAGAUGGAUCCGCGCUGCAUUAGCUAGUUGGUAAGGUAACGGCUUACCAAGGCAACGAUGCAUAGCCGACCUGAGAGGGUGAUCGGCCACACUGGAACUGAGACACGGUCCAGACUCCUACGGGAGGCAGCAGUAGGGAAUCUUCCGCAAUGGGCGAAAGCCUGACGGAGCAACGCCGCGUGAGUGAUGAAGGUCUUCGGAUCGUAAAACUCUGUUAUUAGGGAAGAACAUAUGUGUAAGUAACUGUGCACAUCUUGACGGUACCUAAUCAGAAAGCCACGGCUAACUACGUGCCAGCAGCCGCGGUAAUACGUAGGUGGCAAGCGUUAUCCGGAAUUAUUGGGCGUAAAGCGCGCGUAGGCGGUUUUUUAAGUCUGAUGUGAAAGCCCACGGCUCAACCGUGGAGGGUCAUUGGAAACUGGAAAACUUGAGUGCAGAAGAGGAAAGUGGAGUUCCAUGUGUAGCGGUGAAAUGCGCAGAGAUAUGGAGGAACACCAGUGGCGAAGGCGACUUUCUGGUCUGUAACUGACGCUGAUGUGCGAAAGCGUGGGGAUCAAACAGGAUUAGAUACCCUGGUAGUCCACGCCAUAAACGAUAAGUGCUAAGUGUUAGGGGGUUUCCGCCCCUUAGUGCUGCAGCUAACGCAUUAAGCACUCCGCCUGGGGAGUACGACCGCAAGGUUGAAACUCAAAGGAAUUGACGGGGACCCGCACAAGCGGUGGAGCAUGUGGUUUAAUUCGAAGCAACGCGAAGAACCUUACCAACUCUUGACAUCCUUUGACAACUCUAGAGAUAGAGCCUUCCCCUUCGGGGGACAAAGUGACAGGUGGUGCAUGGUUGUCGUCAGCUCGUGUCGUGAGAUGUUGGGUUAAGUCCCGCAACGAGCGCAACCCUUAAGCUUAGUUGCCAUCAUUAAGUUGGGCACUCUAAGUUGACUGCCGGUGACAAACCGGAGGAAGGUGGGGAUGACGUCAAAUCAUCAUGCCCCUUAUGAUUUGGGCUACACACGUGCUACAAUGGACAAUACAAAGGGCAGCGAAACCGCGAGGUCAAGCAAAUCCCAUAAAGUUGUUCUCAGUUCGGAUUGUAGUCUGCAACUCGACUACAUGAAGCUGGAAUCGCUAGUAAUCGUAGAUCAGCAUGCUACGGUGAAUACGUUCCCGGGUCUUGUACACACCGCCCGUCACACCACGAGAGUUUGUAACACCCGAAGCCGGUGGAGUAACCUUUUAGGAGCUAGCCGUCGAAGGUGGGACAAAUGAUUGGGGUGAAGUCA